AAAGUAUUCGGACUUGUGUUUAUUCAAAAUAAACUAUAGUCCAACCGAGAGUGAUCUUCGGUGAAUGUUAUCAACAUGAGUAGUAUUUAUGUUUGUGGACAAGUGCCACUAACAUCUAAGUGAAUUGGCCUCAACAACUUUGUGAUUCUUUCUUCUUUCCAAAAGAAUAAAGAUUCGAACAUUUUCGCCUCUAUACAAUUUUAACAAGAAGGUAUUGGAUCCGGAUCUAACGAUCCAAAGCGU
RNAcentral lists this long non-coding RNA (243 nucleotides) under Malus domestica (apple). RNAcentral's name for it is "long non-coding RNA (MDOM_LNC012708)". Lineage: Eukaryota; Viridiplantae; Streptophyta; Magnoliopsida; Rosales; Rosaceae. The record is from RNAcentral.